RNAcentral lists this ribosomal RNA (468 nucleotides) under uncultured bacterium. Its description in RNAcentral is "partial 16S ribosomal RNA". It matches the Rfam family "Bacterial small subunit ribosomal RNA", at positions 28 to 507 of the family's 1533-position model. The record is from RNAcentral.
GACGAACGCUGGCGGCGUGCUUAACACAUGCAAGUCGAACGGAAAGGCCCUGCUUUUGUGGGGUGCUCGAGUGGCGAACGGGUGAGUAACACGUGAGUAACCUGCCCUUGACUUUGGGAUAACUUCAGGAAACUGGGGCUAAUACCGGAUAGGAGCUCCUGCUGCAUGGUGGGGGUUGGAAAGUUUCGGCGGUUGGGGAUGGACUCGCGGCUUAUCAGCUUGUUGGUGGGGUAGUGGCUUACCAAGGCUUUGACGGGUAGCCGGCCUGAGAGGGUGACCGGCCACAUUGGGACUGAGAUAGGGACCAGACUCCAACGGGAGGCAGCAGUGGGGAAUAUUGCACAAUGGGCGGAAGCCUGAUGAAGCAACGCCGCGUGCGGGAUGACGGCCUUCGGGUUGUAAACCGCUUUCGCCUGUGACGAAGCGUGAGUGACGGUAAUGGGUAAAGAAGCACCGGCUAACUACGUG